This 267-nucleotide ribosomal RNA is filed under the name uncultured bacterium. Its description in RNAcentral is "partial 16S ribosomal RNA". It matches the Rfam family "Bacterial small subunit ribosomal RNA", at positions 524 to 790 of the family's 1533-position model. The record is from RNAcentral.
UACAGAGGUCUCAAGCGUUGUUCGGAUUCAUUGGGCGUAAAGGGUGCGUAGGCGGCGCGGUAAGUCGGGUGUGAAAUCUCGGAGCUUAACUCCGAAACUGCAUUCGAUACUGCCGUGCUUGAGGACUGGGGAGGAGACUGGAAUUUACGGUGUAGCGGUGAAAUGCGUAGAUAUCGUAAGGAAGACCAGUGGCGAAGGCGGGUCUCUGGACAGUUCCUGACGCUGAGGCACGAAGGUCAGGGGAGCAAACGGGAUUAGAGUACCCGA